GUAUUCCUCACUGCCAGAGCCCCCCCCACCCAAAUGGCUGCCGUAAAAGCCAUUGGAGUUAGGCAUUCUCCUUGUAGGCUGAGACCAACCCAGGAAACAGAUCUCAAACAUCCCCAGGGCAGAGACUUCCCUAGUUUCCUGAAUGUAAUUUUCCAGAGUUGAAACUUUCCUCUCAAGCGGGGAAAAAGAACAUUUAUAUAGCUGCUGACGGCACACGCAGAACUAUUUCUGUCUAACCAGAAGCCACCUCAUCCCAGCCGUGGUCCCAGCACUAGCACAGGUAGAGACAGCAAGAUCAGGAGUUCCAGGUUGCCCCAAGCUACCUAGGGAAUUCAAGGCCAGCAUGAGACUGUCUCAAAUAUGUGCUCUCUCAGAGUUUCAGUGCUGGGUGGGCAUGGAGGAAAGGCCAAACUCUGAGAGCCAAGGCAGGUGGAAUGCUGGGUCUGCUCCUCCCCCUCCCCCUCCCCCUCCAGGUACAGGUCUGGGCAUAUGUGUGCAGCCCCUACAGGGUAGGGAACGUUCUGGAGGAAGGAGGCCCACGGGGACAAAGACACAUGACUCUCUGGACACCUGUGGGACAGAUGCCUGCAGGAGAGCCGUCCCUGGUCAGAGAGGCACAGAGGAGACAGAUGUGAACACCUGAGGCUGUGUGUCGGAUGGUGGUUCCUUUCAGCACCAGACCCCAGGGGGAUGCACUGUGGCACACGGCCUGCCUCAGAUGGAGCCUAGCCAAACCAAAGCCAAAAAGCCGAACCUCUUGCUGGACCCCAAUGCCUUCUGGGAGUACAGGUGGCAAGAGUUCAUGGCAGGAGGCCUGUGUGGCUGCCAACCAAUGGCGAGGAGCAGGGAGUGGUGUGCCCGGGGUCUGGCAGGACCCUGCAGAUCAGUGUAGAGUCCAUCUGCGCGACAGUAACAGCUCAGCGCUCAGACCGCGCCCAUGAGGGUAAAGGUGGUGACUUGGGCCCCUACUAACCAAGGGAACUGGUCAGCGAUGAUCCUCUUCCUCCCAGGUGGGAAGGGGCUAGAGACACCAAGAGCCCGGCGCUUCUCAGUAACUGCAGGGUAACUCUGUGUAGGGACAGUUUCAGGAGAAAGUCUUUAUGACUAUUCAGAUAUGUCUCUAUGAGAAAGGGGAAGUGGUCAACCCACGGACAACAUUGUCGCUGCCCCAGGAAGAGCAGACCAUGCCGAACUGGUGCCUGGGGGAGCAGGACACCCACUGCUAUGUAGGCAGGCAGGAAGGCUGUCCCCUGACUUCUGCGGGAGGGAGAUGCUGGUGGAGCAGGAGAAGAACUCAAACUCGCUCGAUGUGGCCCCCAGCCCGAGGGCAGCAGGCAGGUGGGCUUGCAACUUCUUCUGGAAUGGCCAGGUGGAGGCUGCCUUUGCCUCCCCAGAAGGAGGGGAGAGUUCACGGAAUUCUAGACUCGAUAAGCUCUCUCUCUCUGGCUAUGACCCGUGAGCAGCUGAGCCAGGGAGUUGUAGGAAAUCCACGUCCUUCGUCAGGAUGAAAUUCCAAGCAUUCUUCAUCCACUGUGUGUUUUCCAGUUGAUGUUGCCUCCAACCAACCACAACAACCUUCGCUGAGGAACAGAAUACAGGGUAGGCCAUAUUUCAAAAGGCACAGGAAGCGUCUGCUGGACAUAGAUCCUCACUGGGGCUGGGUAGUGUGGGGAAACCAUGGUGGGGAAGUCUGGGGGUUUGGGGGAGGGGAGGGAGGAAGCAAGCAGGAGAUGCUCACUAUGCCCAACCCUGACAAGGCAUUGUGCAUGCAGCACAUAGUAGGGCACCUGGGCUGGAGAAAUUGGACUGUGAAGCAGGAGGUACAAGGAGAUAGGUCUCAGAGACAUGAGAGUUCUUGAUGCAAUGUCACCUGACAAUCUGACCCAGAGCUCCUUGUGGACACCACAAGACAAAGCAGAGCUAGUCAGUUCCGAGCGAGGGAUCCGAGGGAGAACGGAAGCUGGAGCUGAUGCUGCAGGCCCAGGGUAGCCCUCCCUGCCGCUGAGCCCUACGAACACCCUUCACUCCAUGCCCUAGGGUCCCCAAGCCCUCAGCUCUUAAUAGGGAUCGUGAAGCAUGUGGACUGAGAGGGAGGGGAAGGUAGAUGAAUGGUCACACCAUGGUCUAACUGGACGUGCCUGCUUUGUUGGGAUAGGACUUUCACAGCCUCUCUGAACCUCAGAAUACAGCAGGGAUGAGACCCUCAGCUUCUGGUCCUCUGCCAUCCUCCCAGUUAGCCCUGCCAUGCACCAGACCCCACGAGUUCUCACUGCUCCCAGUUCCCAGCUGGCCCUCCCCAGUCCUAGAGCUGGCAUGGGCCAGGAAGCUACUCGAGUCUCCUCCCUUCCUGAGAGUGACAUGGGGACAAGGCCUCGAUCAGGCUGAGUCCAAGUGCUCUCACUUCUGGUGCCCAGCAGGCAUCCAAGAGGAUCUAUGAUGCUCUUGGCUUCACCCACCACUUGUGAUCUAAAAGUGAGUCCUGGGCACAACCUUGGGUUCACAACUGCCUUCUCCUUACUCCUUGUAACCUGUCACCCUCACUACCUCCAUCAUCACCAUAUUUUGCCUGCCAAGCAACAGCAGAUCUCAGUACAGCAGAAACAGACUUUAGCUCCCCACGCUCAUGGUCUGAAUGUGCCAGGGAAGGAGAGACACCCUCCCCCUCCAACCUCCUUACCACAAGGGAACCAAGACUUUGCAGGUCGUUUAGAAACAUGGUUAAUGAAGUUUAUAAGGGAAAUAUUUAUGAACCCUCUUGGGGUUUUUCCAUUUCCCUGAUUUGUCACGACCAGCUGUGAGUCAUUGGUCACCAACAGCUGUGUUAACCAGGCCCUAACUUUCCUCAGCCAAGCAUGAAACCUGCUGUCCAGAACCCCACUUGUCAUAAUAGCCCAGUGUCAGCUUCUCAGCCAGUCACGGUUAAGCGCCAAGCACAGGUGAGCACUAUUUACGGGUUCUAAACCCAGGGGCCCACCCAGGUGGGUCAAGUUGACCUCACUUCAGGUCAGCUCCUGCCACAGGUGAGCACUGUUCACAGUAUCUAAGCCCAGGGCCCACCUGGGUGCUGCAGGCUUCACUUCUGGUGGCUUCUGCCGAUGCUUUGCUGCAGGUUGCUAUCCCAGCUCAUACCUUGGCUAUCCAACCGUACUCAAGGAGCCCACAUCUGUCCCGCAGUCAUGCUGUAUUUUGCAAUGCAGCCUCAUUAUCUCCUUGAGGUAGUUCAUGGCUUCUAAUUGCCUGAACUCUGUGGGAGACCCGCAUUCCAAGAACCUAGGAUCAGCCCACUGCGAGGGGAGAUGCCUCUUGAAUGACACACACUACUUUGCCCUGACCCUGGUGGUGACAAAGCCUUUCCAUGUGUUAUCUCAUUUGAUUCUCACAAAGCUCUAUAAAUGCGAGGCACUGAGACAGUCACCUAAGGAAGCAUGGUGGGAAUCACUCACAGUCAGUAACCCAUCACAGUCUGCUAACCCAGAUCCUAGGCUGGUAGUGACCAUGCACACCACCCUGGCCUACAAUGGUUACAACAUCUGCUGUAUUCAUUUCUUCAAAAAUCAUCCUUAAAGUCACAGAAUCCCCACGCCCAGAGACUUCCAGUGACUGGGAUGACAUGACAAUGGAUUUCUUAUGGACUGGUCCCUCAAGGGCCAGUGAGACGGCUUCUGGGCAAACCUAAUAGCCUGAGUCUGAUCCCUGGAUCCCACAGCAGAAAGAAAAAAGAAAAUCUGCCCUCUUAUGUCCACAUACACAGCACGGCAUGCAUGCGUUGGCACACAGGGCCGCACGUAUAUGACUACACUUACACAAUGAUAAUGGUGAAUAUAUAAAAAAAUAAAAAUAGAAUCCUCAAGUUUCAUCCACCUUCUGGUUUGGUCAGGAUCCUUCCUCUGUGAGGCUGAGUUACACGGGGCAGAUUGGGUAAUUCAUCUAUGUAUCCAUUGAGAAAUAGUUGCCAGAUUGGCUUAUUCAACUAUGUAUCCUUUGAGAAAUAGUUGUCUCUUCGCUUUGGCUACUGUAAAUACUGCUGCUAUAAAUAGAACCGUGCAAAUCUUCUUACCUCUUUGCUGUCUCCAGAGCUUUUUGCAAUAUGCCUCAAGUGAAAUCGAUAGAGGGUACAGAAAUUCUAUUUUUAGUUUGAGGAACCACUGUGCCGUUUACACGACAGAUGUCCUGUUUUACAACCCCACCAGCAGCCCGCAGUGCCACAGGUGUAUUUCCAAGGAAGUCCCGGGAACAUGAGCCUGAAUGUGCAAGCCACAGUAUCAAGAGAAGAGAAAUUAGGCUGCACUAAGUUAAAAAGGCCCCCUGUGUCGGAAAGGAAUCUGUCAACAGAGAGAAGAAACAACCUGCUGAAACAACCAGGAGGAAAUAUCUGGGAGCUAUGCAGACAAGCUGCUGCUAUCUGACACAGCAAGGAGGUCAAGCAGGGCCACAGGUCAAACAACCCCAGUGAAAACAGGGAAGGACCUCUGUGGACAGUUCCCAGAAGAAAACACAGACAGGCAGGGGAGGGGGAAGGGGUGGUGGUGGUGAUAAAAGACUCACCAAGGAAAUGCAAACCCAAACUGGCAACUUGCCUAUACCUGCUAGGGCGGUAACAAUGAAAAGACACAGAAAACAAGUGUUGGCAAGGAUGCAGACAAAAGAGAACUCUUGUAUACUCCAGGCUGGAUGCAAAUUCCUAUAGUCAUUAUGGAAAUUUUUUAUGGAAGUUCCUCAGAAGAAACAAAAAAGCCAACUACAGCCAGUCAGCUACUGUGUGGUCCCACCAUCCCUUUCACUGAGCUUAUAUCGGAAGGAAAUAAAACAAUACACUAGAGA
This is a non-coding RNA of Rattus norvegicus (Norway rat), 4821 nucleotides long. Lineage: Eukaryota; Metazoa; Chordata; Mammalia; Rodentia; Muridae. The record is from RefSeq and is a predicted model, not a curated record.